GCCGACGUCGGCGGGUCGGCCGGGCCGAUUGCGGAUCGGCCGGAGCUGGUGGUGGGCGGGCCGGUCGAAGCCGGCCGCGGGCC
This 83-nucleotide transfer RNA is filed under the name Streptomyces sp. RB17. RNAcentral describes it as "tRNA-Arg". The record is from RNAcentral. Lineage: Bacteria; Bacillati; Actinomycetota; Actinomycetes; Kitasatosporales; Streptomycetaceae.